UACGUAGGGUGCAAGCGUUGUCCGGAAUUAUUGGGCGUAAAGAGCUCGUAGGCGGUUUGUCGCGUCGAAUGUGAAAACCCGGGGCUCAACCCCGGGCCUGCAUUCGAUACGGGCAGACUAGAGUUCGGUAGGGGAGUCUGGAAUUCCUGGUGUAGCGGUGAAAUGCGCAGAUAUCAGGAGGAACACCGGUGGCGAAGGCGGCGAUCUGGGUCGAUACUGACGCUGAGGUGCGAAAGCGUGGGGAGCAAACAGG
RNAcentral lists this ribosomal RNA (253 nucleotides) under uncultured bacterium. Its description in RNAcentral is "partial 16S ribosomal RNA". It matches the Rfam family "Bacterial small subunit ribosomal RNA", at positions 524 to 776 of the family's 1533-position model. The record is from RNAcentral.